This 492-nucleotide ribosomal RNA is filed under the name uncultured bacterium. Its description in RNAcentral is "partial 16S ribosomal RNA". It matches the Rfam family "Bacterial small subunit ribosomal RNA", at positions 29 to 507 of the family's 1533-position model. The record is from RNAcentral.
AGUGAACGCUGGCGGUAGGCCUAACACAUGCAAGUCGAACGGCAGCACAGUAAGAGCUUGCCCUUACGGGUGGCGAGUGGCGGACGGGUGAGGAAUACAUCGGAUUCUACUUUUUCGGGGGGGAUAACGUAGGGAAACUUACGCUAAUACCGCAUACGACCUACGGGUGAAAGCAGUGGAUCUUCGGACCUUGCGCGAUUGAAUGAGCCGAUGUCGGAUUAGCUAGUUGGCGGGGUAAAGGCCCACCAAGGCGACGAUCCGUAGCUGGUCUGAGAGGAUGAUCAGCCACACUGGAACUGAGACACGGUCCAGACUCCUACGGGAGGCAGCAGUGGGGAAUCUUGCACAAUGGGCGCAAGCCUGAUCCAGCCAUACCGCGUGAGUGAAGAAGGCCUUCGGGUUGUAAAGCCCUUUUGUUAGGAAAGAAAAGCAGCAGGUUAAUCCCCCGCUGUUCUGACGGUACCCAAAGAAUAAGCACCGGCUAACUUCGUG